Molecule: ribosomal RNA, 468 nt
Filed under: uncultured bacterium
Lineage: Bacteria
Description: partial 16S ribosomal RNA
Rfam family: Bacterial small subunit ribosomal RNA
Source: RNAcentral
GACGAACGCUGGCGGCGUGCUUAACACAUGCAAGUCGAACGGAAAGGCCCUGCUUUUGUGGGGUGCUCGAGUGGCGAACGGGUGAGUAACACGUGAGUAACCUGCCCUUGACUUUGGGAUAACUUCAGGAAACUGGGGCUAAUACCGGAUAGGAGCUCCUGCUGCAUGGUGGGGGUUGGAAAGUUUCGGCGGUUGGGGAUGGACUCGCGGCUUAUCAGCUUGUUGGUGGGGUAGUGGCUUACCAAGGCUUUGACGGGUAGCCGGCCUGAGAGGGUGACCGGCCACAUUGGGACUGGGAUACGGCCCAGACUCCUACCGGAGGCAGCAGUGGGGAAUAUUGCACAAUGGGCGGAAGCCUGAUGCAGCAACGCCGCGUGCGGGAUGACGGCCUUCGGGUUGUAAACCGCUUUCGCCUGUGACGAAGCGUGAGUGACGGUAAUGGGUAAAGAAGCACCGGCUAACUACGUG